GUCAUGGUGGCCGAGUGGUUAAGGCGUUGGACUUGAAAUCCAAUGGGGUCUCCCCGCACAGGUUCAAACCCUGUCCAUGACG
This 82-nucleotide transfer RNA is filed under the name Petromyzon marinus (sea lamprey). RNAcentral's name for it is "tRNA-Ser (TGA) (tRNA-Ser-TGA-3-1)". It matches the Rfam family "tRNA". Rfam says of the family: Transfer RNA (tRNA) molecules are approximately 80 nucleotides in length. Lineage: Eukaryota; Metazoa; Chordata; Hyperoartia; Petromyzontiformes; Petromyzontidae. The record is from RNAcentral.